GGCAGUUCAGGGGGUAUUCUGGUUGCCUUACCCAGCUCUGAAGUCUGUCAGCCUCUUCAGAUGUCACUUGCCCUGUGGUAAGGAAGUGUAGUUGGCAGCUGGUGCAGUGGCAAGAAGAGAAAGGAAGUUCCCCAAGACAGAAACAUCUCAGCAGACUCCAUCAUGAAUUCAUGGCACCACACAGUCCCCUGAUGCUAUAACAUCAUGGAUUUCUUUUGUCCAGUGAGAGGCCCAAAAGCUGCAGCACAGACAAUAUCAUAGUGUAGAAGUUUAACUAGACCGUGAUCAUGGGCUACAUUCUCCAUACCAGCUUCAUAGCUCCAGUGAGAAAAUAAAUUCCUGCACCCAGGAGACGUGGAGUAAGAGAUACAGCUGCCCUUGACCAUAUUUCUUACUUCCGAGAAGAUUGUAGCAGUAAUUCAGGUGAGGUUCACGGGCACCAUCGCAGGCUCUACCUGACACAGCAAGUAUUCUCCAGUCUGCAGAUUUCUCAGUCUUCACUUAUUUUUUGUGAACUUGACUUUUUUGAAAAGUACAGAAUCUCAUCCAGGAUACCUCAUCACAGGCUGGAGUGCAGUGUCAUGAGCUUGGCUCACUACAGCCUCCAUCUUCUGUGCUUAAGGAUCCUUCCCUCUCAGCCUCCAGGGUAGCUGAGACUGCAGACUCUAUCAGGAAUCACUUGGGACUGUGCAUUCUGUUGACACUCACUUUGUGGAAUUAAGUUGCCCACUGCCAACCCUAAAGCCACCAAGGUAGCAGAUGAGGUCUUGUUCUUUUGGCCAGGCUGGAGUGCAGUGGUACAGUCGUGACUCACUGCAGCUUCAAACACCUGGGUUCCAGCAUUCAUCCCACUUCAGCCUCCCGUGUAGCCGGGACUACAGGUAUGAAAUAAUUUCCUAUUGAAGUCAUCUUAACAUGGAACCAGAAUUAAAUCCUAACAACAAUCAUGUGAGCCUGGGGAGGAUCCUUCCCCACGUGAGCCUUCAGGGGAGACUUCAGCCUUGGCCAUCUUCUACAUCUAGAUUCCUGACCAAGAGAAGCUGUUUAGAAUAGUUCACCAGUGAAGUCAUCUCAACCAGCACAGGGCCUUGACUCCUAACAACAAUCACACGAACUUGGAAGAGGAGCCUUCCCCAACUGAACCUUCGCUUGAGACCUCGUCCUUGGCCAUCCUCUACAUCUGGAUUCAUGAUACAGAGAAACUGUUUCAAAUAAUUCAUCAGUGAAUUCUUCUCAACCUGGUCAAUCAUGUGAACUUAGAAGAUGAUUCCUCCCCAGCUGAUCCUCAGGUGAGACAUCAGCCUUGGCCAUCAUCUACAUCUGGAUUCCUGACCCAGAGAAACUGGAACACUAAGACCCAUUCUUCUUCUCAAGUAUCCAAAAAUAAA
RNAcentral lists this long non-coding RNA (1388 nucleotides) under Homo sapiens (human). Its description in RNAcentral is "Prader-Willi region non-protein coding RNA 1". Lineage: Eukaryota; Metazoa; Chordata; Mammalia; Primates; Hominidae. The record is from RNAcentral.